Oncorhynchus gorbuscha (pink salmon) is the source of this 288-nucleotide long non-coding RNA. RefSeq lists it as uncharacterized. The record is from RefSeq and is a predicted model, not a curated record. NCBI's taxonomy places the organism in Eukaryota, Metazoa, Chordata, Actinopteri, Salmoniformes, Salmonidae. The transcript is spliced from 3 exons.
CGCACUGCUGCAGGGAAGUACUGGACCCUCACCUCCACCGGAGGACUGCAGUGUACCGCCUCCACUAAGUCAUCUAACAGUCAUUUUGAUCUGGAGUGGUGUGAGGGGAAGGUUUCUCUCAAAGCCUCUAAUGGGAAAUACGUUGCCGCCAAGAGGAACGGACAGCUAGCUGCUACCGUCGACAACGCAGGGGAGGCGGAGCAGUUCCUGAUGAAGCUGAUCAAUCGGCCAAUCAUAGUCCUCCGUGGAGAACACGGUUUCAUUGGCUGUCGUAAGGUUGGCACGGAA